RNAcentral lists this long non-coding RNA (218 nucleotides) under Elaeis guineensis (African oil palm). Its description in RNAcentral is "long non-coding RNA (EGUI_LNC026924)". The record is from RNAcentral. Lineage: Eukaryota; Viridiplantae; Streptophyta; Magnoliopsida; Arecales; Arecaceae.
GGCAGGAAGAUAUGCCUUUGUUUUUGGAAUCAGAUAUAUGCCAUCGCUUGAGAAGUUCCCUAUCAAUUCUAUAUAUCCAAUCCAAGAUUUCUAAAUCUGUGACCAUGUCCUGAGAGACUUAAAUAUUUACAGGUUAUCUUUGAAAGAUUAAAGAUUGAUGUUAAUUUAAAAAUAGAUUAUUACAGCUUCAACAGUAUUAAAAGCUUGCUUGGAAGCAC